Molecule: ribosomal RNA, 301 nt
Filed under: uncultured bacterium
Lineage: Bacteria
Description: partial 16S ribosomal RNA
Rfam family: Bacterial small subunit ribosomal RNA
Source: RNAcentral
CAGCAGCCGCGGUAAUACGUAGGGUGCGAGCGUUAAUCGGAAUUACUGGGCGUAAAGCGGGCGCAGACGGUUACUUAAGCAGGAUGUGAAAUCCCCGGGCUCAACCUGGGAACUGCGUUCUGAACUGGGUGACUAGAGUGUGUCAGAGGGAGGUAGAAUUCCACGUGUAGCAGUGAAAUGCGUAGAGAUGUGGAGGAAUACCGAUGGCGAAGGCAGCCUCCUGGGAUAACACUGACGUUCAUGCCCGAAAGCGUGGGUAGCAAACAGGAUUAGAUACCCCGGUAGUCCCUGUCUCUUAUAC